GUAAAAGAAGUCGGCAAAUUCGAUCAGUCACUUCGGGAGAAGGGUUGGCUCUGGCGGACGAGUCAAACUGGCCGAGAUCAGAUACGUGUCGGUAAAAUUGGAGAGCUGGUUUCUCCGCUGCUUUGUGUGCUUUAGUGCGCAUUGUUGUGGAGUUACUAUACUCUGACCGUGAACGAUCGUGGGCAGUUUCAGCUGUUGGUGUUGUAUGACUAGCAACGCGCGUGGACUUGCUCUGCGUUGUAUCAAACGGCUGUGCUUCCAUUGUUUGGCGGGCGACGGCUAACUCAUAACUGGUACAGACCAGUGGAAUCCGACUUUUUAAUCAGAACAAAGCACUGUGACAUCCACUGACUGGUUAUGAAGCAAUGCGAUUUAUGCCCAGUGCUCUGAAUAUCAAAGUGAAGAAUUUCAAAUAAGCACGGGAAUACGGAUAUGGAUUUUUCCCCAUAGGUUGAUUCCUGAUAUGGUACAGUUUGUGU
Molecule: non-coding RNA, 479 nt
Filed under: Trichobilharzia regenti
Lineage: Eukaryota; Metazoa; Platyhelminthes; Trematoda; Strigeidida; Schistosomatidae
Description: Eukaryotic large subunit ribosomal RNA
Rfam family: Eukaryotic large subunit ribosomal RNA
Source: Rfam by way of RNAcentral